Molecule: ribosomal RNA, 208 nt
Filed under: uncultured delta proteobacterium
Lineage: Bacteria; Deltaproteobacteria
Description: partial 16S ribosomal RNA
Rfam family: Bacterial small subunit ribosomal RNA
Source: RNAcentral
CGUGUAGGCUGCUUGGAAAGUCGGAUGUGAAAGCCCUGGGCUCAACCUAGGAAGUGCAUUCGAAACUUCCAAGCUCGAGUUUCGGAGAGGAAGGCGGAAUUCUCGGUGUAGAGGUGAAAUUCGUAGAUAUCGAGAGGAACAUCGGUGGCGAAGGCGGCCUUCUGGACGAUGACUGACGCUGAGACGCGAAAGCGUGGGGAGCAAACAG